RNAcentral lists this ribosomal RNA (253 nucleotides) under uncultured bacterium. Its description in RNAcentral is "partial 16S ribosomal RNA". It matches the Rfam family "Bacterial small subunit ribosomal RNA", at positions 524 to 776 of the family's 1533-position model. The record is from RNAcentral.
UACGGGGGGGGCAAGCGUUGUUCGGAAUUACUGGGCGUAAAGGGCUCGUAGGCGGCCAACUAAGUCAUACGUGAAAUCCCUCGGCUUAACCGGGGAACUGCGUCUGAUACUGGAUGGCUUGAGUUCGGGAGAGGGAUGCGGAAUUCCAGGUGUAGCGGUGAAAUGCGUAGAUAUCUGGAGGAACACCGGUGGCGAAGGCAGCAUCCUGGACCGAUACUGACGCUGAGGAGCGAAAGCCAGGGGAGCAAACGGG